This 74-nucleotide transfer RNA is filed under the name Alosa alosa (allis shad). RNAcentral describes it as "tRNA-OTHER". The record is from RNAcentral. Lineage: Eukaryota; Metazoa; Chordata; Actinopteri; Clupeiformes; Clupeidae.
GCAGCCGUGGCCUACUGGUUAGGGCUUUGGACUUGUGACCGGAGGAUUGCCGGUUCGAACCCCGACCAGUAGGA